Poecilia latipinna (sailfin molly) is the source of this 305-nucleotide long non-coding RNA. RefSeq lists it as uncharacterized. NCBI's taxonomy places the organism in Eukaryota, Metazoa, Chordata, Actinopteri, Cyprinodontiformes, Poeciliidae. The transcript is spliced from 3 exons. The record is from RefSeq and is a predicted model, not a curated record.
UCCGGUUCCACUGCGGCUGCUGCGAGCGGAGACGAGGCCGAGUCCUCGUCCUUCACAGGCCGAGUUUGGUUUGACGACUGAGCGGACUCGGUUUGGACCAGGUUUGGACCGCGUCUCUUUCCUGUUCUGGUUCGGCCGCCAUCUUGUAUCAACUGGCUUCGCUUGAGGAUGACCAGCGGCGCCCUCUGCUGGAUGGCGGCCAAACUACAACACUGGAAGACGUAAAACUCACUGGGCGACAUGAUCAAAUCGCUGUUCAGCCUCAGAGUCUGAAGAGGAAGCACCUGAAGGAUGAGACAGGCGUG